UUGCCUGCAUACAUCUGCAUGGAAUAAUAGAAUAGGACUUCGGUUCUAUUUUGUUGGUUUUCGGAACCAGAAGUAAUGAUGAAUGGAGACAGGCGGGGGCAUUCGUAUUGCGACGUUAGAGGUGAAAUUCUUGGAUCGUCGCAAGACGCACUGAAGCGAAAGCAUUUGCCAAGGAUGUUCUCGUUGAUCAAGAACGAAAGUUAUGGGUUCGAAGGCGAUUAGAUACCGCCCUAGUCAUAACCAUAAACUAUGUGAACUGGCCUUUGGGGAGAUGUCCUCUGAUGCACUCCCCAGUAGCCUCCGAGAAGUCAAAGUUUUUGCAUUCCGGGGGAAGUAUGGUUGCAAAGCUGAAACUUAAAGAAAUUGACGGAAGGG
Molecule: ribosomal RNA, 375 nt
Filed under: Schizochytrium aggregatum
Lineage: Eukaryota; Bigyra; Thraustochytrida; Thraustochytriidae
Description: partial Eukaryotic small subunit ribosomal RNA
Rfam family: Eukaryotic small subunit ribosomal RNA
Source: RNAcentral